UACGUAGGGGGCAAGCGUUGUCCGGAAUUAUUGGGCGUAAAGCGCGUGUAGGCGGCCAGAUAAGUCCGCUGUGAAAUCUCGAGGCUCAACUUCGAGCUGUCGGUGGAAACUGUCUGGCUAGAGUCCGGAAGAGGAGAAUGGAAUUCCUGGUGUAGCGGUGAAAUGCGCAGAUAUCAGGAAGAACACCCGUGGCGAAGGCGGUUCUCUGGGACGGUACUGACGCUGAGAAGCGAAAGCGUGGGGAGCGAACAGG
This 253-nucleotide ribosomal RNA is filed under the name uncultured bacterium. RNAcentral's name for it is "partial 16S ribosomal RNA". It matches the Rfam family "Bacterial small subunit ribosomal RNA", at positions 524 to 776 of the family's 1533-position model. The record is from RNAcentral.